CGUAUAUUAAAGUUGUUGCAGUUAAAAAGCUCGUAGUUGGAUUUGUGGUCUGUGGUGUGUUCCGGGCACUCGUGUCCGAGUAACUCGCCGCUGCCAUCCCUGGGUGGAACCUGUGUGGCAUUAGGUUGUCGGGCAGGGGAUGCCCAUCUUUUACUGUGAAAAAAUUAGAGUGUUCAAAGCAGGCUUAUGCCGUUGAAUAUAUUAGCAUGGAAUAAUGAGAUAGGACCUUGGUACUAUUUUGUUGGUUUGCGCACCGAGGUAAUGAUUAAUAGGGACAGUUGGGGG
This 285-nucleotide ribosomal RNA is filed under the name uncultured diatom. RNAcentral describes it as "partial 18S ribosomal RNA". It matches the Rfam family "Eukaryotic small subunit ribosomal RNA", at positions 598 to 888 of the family's 1831-position model. Lineage: Eukaryota; Bacillariophyta. The record is from RNAcentral.